Molecule: ribosomal RNA, 846 nt
Filed under: uncultured bacterium
Lineage: Bacteria
Description: bacterial SSU rRNA
Rfam family: Bacterial small subunit ribosomal RNA
Source: RNAcentral
UCCUGGCUCAGAUUGAACGCUGGCGGCAGGCCUAACACAUGCAAGUCGAGCGGUAGAGAGAAGCUUGCUUCUCUUGAGAGCGGCGGACGGGUGAGUAAUGCCUAGGAAUCUGCCUGGUAGUGGGGGAUAACGUUCGGAAACGGACGCUAAUACCGCAUACGUCCUACGGGAGAAAGCAGGGGACCUUCGGGCCUUGCGCCAUCAGAUGAGCCUAGGUCGGAUUAGCUAGUUGGUGGGGUAAUGGCUCACCAAGGCGACGAUCCGUAACUGGUCUGAGAGGAUGAUCAGUCACACUGGAACUGAGACACGGUCCAGACUCCUACGGGAGGCAGCAGUGGGGAAUAUUGGACAAUGGGCGAAAGCCUGAUCCAGCCAUGCCGCGUGUGUGAAGAAGGUCUUCGGAUUGUAAAGCACUUUAAGUUGGGAGGAAGGGUUGUAGAUUAAUACUCUGCAAUUUUGACGUUACCGACAGAAUAAGCACCGGCUAACUCUGUGCCAGCAGCCGCGGUAAUACAGAGGGUGCAAGCGUUAAUCGGAAUUACUGGGCGUAAAGCGCGCGUAGGUGGUUUGUUAAGUUGGAUGUGAAAUCCCCGGGCUCAACCUGGGAACUGCAUUCAAAACUGACUGACUAGAGUAUGGUAGAGGGUGGUGGAAUUUCCUGUGUAGCGGUGAAAUGCGUAGAUAUAGGAAGGAACACCAGUGGCGAAGGCGACCACCUGAACUAAUACUGACACUGAGGUGCGAAAGCGUGGGGAGCAAACAGGAUUAGAUACCCUGGUAGUCCACGCCGUAAACGAUGUCAACUAGCCGUUGGAAGCCUUGAGCUUUUAGUGGCGCAGCUAACGC